AGUGAACGCUGGCGGUGGGCCUAACACAUGCAAGUCGAACGGCAGCACAGUAAGGGCUUGCUCUUACGGGUGGCGAGUGGCGGACGGGUGAGGAAUACAUCGGAAUCUACUUUUUCGUGGGGGAUAACGUAGGGAAACUUACGCUAAUACCGCAUACGACCUACGGGUGAAAGCAGGGGAUCUUCGGACCUUGCUCGAUUGAAUGAGCCGAUGUCGGAUUAGCUAGUUGGCGGGGUAAAGGCCCACCAAGGCGACGAUCCGUAGCUGGUCUGAGAGGAUGAUCAGCCACACUGGAACUGAGACACGGUCCAGACUCCUACGGGAGGCAGCAGUGGGGAAUAUUGGACAAUGGGCGCAAGCCUGAUCCAGCCAUACCGCGUGGGUGAAGAAGGCCUUCGGGUUGUAAAGCCCUUUUGUUGGGAAAGAAAAGCAGCAGGUUAAUACCCCGCUGUUCUGACGGUGCCCAAAGAAUAAGCACCGGCUAACUUCGUG
This 492-nucleotide ribosomal RNA is filed under the name uncultured bacterium. RNAcentral's name for it is "partial 16S ribosomal RNA". It matches the Rfam family "Bacterial small subunit ribosomal RNA", at positions 29 to 507 of the family's 1533-position model. The record is from RNAcentral.